AUGCACUUGCAAGUAUGUAGCAACACAAGCUUAGCCAUGACGAUGAGGAAGCGCCCCUCCUUGUCCUCCCUUCUCGUAGCAGCGCUGCUGCUUAUGCUUCUUCCAUUGUUUGCUCUUGCUGCAGGGAGGCACAACCUGAUCACUAGAGACCCCCGAUACGACCCAUACGCGAACCCAAAUCCAGAACCACUACCAGGAAAACAACCAGAUCCAAACCCUCAACCAUUACCAAACCCACAACCACUGCCCGGACCACGACCGGACCCAAACCCGCAACCACUACCCGAGCCUAAACCUGACCCAAAACCACUGCCAGAGCCACAACCUGAUCCAAACGCUCAACCAUUACCAGGACCGCAUCCUGACCCAAAUCCACAACCACUGCCAGAGCCACGACCUGAUCCAAACGCUCAACCAUUACCAGGACCGCAUCCUGACCCAAAUCCACAACCAUUGUCAGACCCAAACCCGAAACCAUUGCCGAACCNNNNNNNNAACUCAAACCCUCAACCAUUACCAGGACCGCAGCCUGAUCCAAACCCGAAACCAUUGCCAGACCCACAGCCAAACCCAAACCCUCGGCCAUUACCAGGACCGCAGCCUGAUCCAAACCCACAACCAUUACCAAACCCAAACCCACAACCACUGCCAGGCCCACAGCCGGACCCGAAUGCACAGCCAAAACCACCACUUGGGACACAAGCAGAAAAGGAAAAUGUGGAGCAAACAUCCUAG
RNAcentral lists this ribosomal RNA (735 nucleotides) under Triticum aestivum (bread wheat). RNAcentral's name for it is "partial small subunit ribosomal RNA". Lineage: Eukaryota; Viridiplantae; Streptophyta; Magnoliopsida; Poales; Poaceae. The record is from RNAcentral.